Molecule: ribosomal RNA, 497 nt
Filed under: uncultured bacterium
Lineage: Bacteria
Description: partial 16S ribosomal RNA
Rfam family: Bacterial small subunit ribosomal RNA
Source: RNAcentral
GAUGAACGCUGGCGGCGUGCCUAAUACAUGCAAGUCGAGCGAACAGACGAGGAGCUUGCUCCUCUGACGUUAGCGGCGGACGGGUGAGUAACACGUGUAUAACCUACCUAUAAGACGGGUAUAACUUCGGGAAACCGGAGAUAAUACCGGAUAAUAUAUUGAACCGCAUGGUUCAAUAGUGAAAGACGGUUUUGCGGUCACUUAUAGAUGGAUCCGCGCCGCAUUAGCUAGUUGGUAAGGUAACGGCUUACCAAGGCAACUAUGCGUAUCCGACGUGAUAGGGGGGUCGGCCACACGGGAGCUGAGACACGGUCCAGGGUCCUGCGGGACGGAGCAGUAGGGAAUCGGCCGCAGUGGGCGAAAGCCUGACGGAGCAGCGCCGAGUGAGUGAUGAAGGUCUUCGGAUCGUAAAACUCUGUUAUUAGGGAAGAACAAAUGUGUAAGUAACUAUGCACGUCUUGACGGUAACUAAUCAGAAAGCCACGGCUAACUACGUG